RNAcentral lists this ribosomal RNA (190 nucleotides) under uncultured bacterium. RNAcentral's name for it is "partial 16S ribosomal RNA". It matches the Rfam family "Bacterial small subunit ribosomal RNA", at positions 1305 to 1500 of the family's 1533-position model. The record is from RNAcentral.
CUGCAACUCGACUCCAUGAAGCUGGAUUCGCUAGUAAUCGCGCAUCAGCCAUGGCGCGGUGAAUACGUUCCCGGGCCUUGUACACACCGCCCGUCAAGCCAUGGGAGUCGGGAGUGCCUGAAGUUCGUGACCGUCACAGGAGCGACCUAAGGCAAGACCGAUGACUGGGGCUAAGUCGUAACAAGGUAUC